This 556-nucleotide ribosomal RNA is filed under the name Nectria sp. BAB-4528. RNAcentral describes it as "eukaryotic LSU rRNA". The stretch from base 168 to 321 matches the Rfam family "5.8S ribosomal RNA". The record is from RNAcentral. Lineage: Eukaryota; Fungi; Ascomycota; Sordariomycetes; Hypocreales; Nectriaceae.
UGCGGAGGGAUCAUUACCGAGUUAUACAACUCAUCAACCCUGUGAACAUACCUAUAACGUUGCCUCGGCGGGAACAGACGGCCCCGUAACACGGGCCGCCCCCGCCAGAGGACCCCCUAACUCUGUUUCUAUAAUGUUUCUUCUGAGUAAACAAGCAAAUAAAUUAAAACUUUCAACAACGGAUCUCUUGGCUCUGGCAUCGAUGAAGAACGCAGCGAAAUGCGAUAAGUAAUGUGAAUUGCAGAAUUCAGUGAAUCAUCGAAUCUUUGAACGCACAUUGCGCCCGCCAGUAUUCUGGCGGGCAUGCCUGUUCGAGCGUCAUUACAACCCUCAGGCCCCCGGGCCUGGCGUUGGGGAUCGGCGGAAGCCCCCUGCGGGCACAACGCCGUCCCCCAAAUACAGUGGCGGUCCCGCCGCAGCUUCCAUUGCGUAGUAGCUAACACCUCGCAACUGGAGAGCGGCGCGGCCACGCCGUAAAACACCCAACUUCUGAAUGUUGACCUCGAAUCAGGUAGGAAUACCCGCUGAACUUAAGCAUAUCAAUAAGCCGGAGGAA